AAUACGUUCCCGGGCCUUGUACACACCGCCCGUCAAGUCACGAAAGUCGGUAACACCCGAAGCCGGUGGCCCAACUCGUAAGAGGGGGGCCGUCGAAGGUGGGACUGGCGAUUGGGACU
Molecule: ribosomal RNA, 119 nt
Filed under: uncultured bacterium
Lineage: Bacteria
Description: partial 16S ribosomal RNA
Rfam family: Bacterial small subunit ribosomal RNA
Source: RNAcentral